AAAUUUGAGAGUAUGAUCCUGGCUCAGAAUGAACGCUGGCGGUAUGCUUAAUACAUGCAAGUCGAACGAGAAAGUCUAGCAAUAGGCGAGUAAAGUGGCGUACGGGUGAGUAAUGUACAGGAAUCUACCUGGCAGUAAGGAAUAAGCACUGGAAACGGUGUCUAAUACCAUAUACUACCAUUUAUUUGGGAAAGGGUCAGCCUAUGGCUAGCCCGCUAUCAGAUGAGCCUGUAUCGGAUUAGCUAGUUGGUGGGGUAAAGGCCUACCAAGGCGAUGAUACGUAGCUGGUCUGAGAGGAUGAUCAGCCACAUUGGGACUGCGACACGGCCCAAACUCCUACGGGAGGCAGCAGUAGGGAAUAUUGGACAAUGGGCGAAAGCCUAAUCCAGCAAUACCGC
This 398-nucleotide ribosomal RNA is filed under the name Rickettsiales bacterium. Its description in RNAcentral is "bacterial SSU rRNA". It matches the Rfam family "Bacterial small subunit ribosomal RNA", at positions 1 to 400 of the family's 1533-position model. Lineage: Bacteria; Pseudomonadati; Pseudomonadota; Alphaproteobacteria; Rickettsiales. The record is from RNAcentral.